This 1368-nucleotide long non-coding RNA is filed under the name Musa acuminata (dwarf banana). RNAcentral describes it as "long non-coding RNA (MACU_LNC006705)". Lineage: Eukaryota; Viridiplantae; Streptophyta; Magnoliopsida; Zingiberales; Musaceae. The record is from RNAcentral.
GCGAUCGAGAACCAUGAGAGGUCUCAUCGAAGCCUGAGCGGUCUUUCCCCUUCCUUCCUCGUCGAAGCCGAAAGCUCUCGUUGUUUUCUUUCGCCUGGGGUUUCAAGGUUAGGAUCUUGAUUCGGAGAUCGCGAUGACCGGAAGCGAAGCGAUCGCGCGAUUAGGGUUUCGGGAUGGGAUGGAGAGCAGCCGGCGCAUGAAGCGGGGGGCCGUAGAUGAUGGUGCGGGAGACGCAGCGACUGCGCCUAUUCGAAGCCCCUGGCGUUCUUGGGCGUUGCUGUUGGGGUCUCGAUCUUGAGGCGGGAUGAGACCCUGAGGGAGAUGUUCUUGACGAGGAAGAGGGUGGAAGUGGAAGGAGCUCAGGCUCGAAUUGACCAAGGGAGGUGGGAGAAGCUGCGGAAAAGUACCAAGAUGAAGAUAGUACCAGGUAAGGAUUCUGAAUGUUAGCUUUCACUAAUUCUCCUUCCGAAUGCUAAAGCCUAACUGCGAUCUUCUGUCACUAAUCUUCCCUCAGAAUGGUAACAAAAUAUUGCAAGUUCUUGCUAUGAACACUCGUGUAGAAUUAUUAUUACGGUUCACUAGUUUUCUUUUGGCUUUUGAACACAUCAUGUGCCUACUUAAUUUACAGUCGAUCUGCCUUCCUUUGCAAUGUUGACAAAACAGCACAACUGUACGCCUUCUUGUUAUUCACAUGCAUAUAGAAUCACUGUUCACCGUCAUUGUUGAACAAAUAUUGUGAUUGUUGAAGAAAUACCAUGAUUCUUGAAAAAUUUUGUGAUAUUUUGAACAAAUACUGUGAUUCUUGAACAAAUUACCAUGUUUCUUGAACAGAUAUCCAUGAUUCUUGAACAAAUUCUCAUGUCAGUAAUUAUCUUGAGCUAUGUGACCGAUUGGCCUGUCUAUUUGUACUUGGAGAGAUAAUCAUUAGAUAUCAGUUGGUUUUCUUACCUUCUUUCAUGAUGUUAAUGGGCUUUCUUUUAGUGUGUUAGAUUUAGUUUAACUGUACGCUGGGGAGAUUGUUCAGGACAUAUGCAUUAUUUGAUUUGACAACAUCACAUGGUCUUUUAUCAUAAAGAACAUUUUGUUUAUACCACUUGAUAAAGGAUAUUUUGGUACCACCCAACUGGCAACCACCUCAGAUCACACGUGGCGUCACUCCAGUCAAAGUAAUGCACAUAUCUCAAUGCAGUGUGAAACGACACAGAUUGAUUCAAGAACGGUUGCAUCCUGAAGCGACGCAGCCCAGCUCAGAAGCGAUGCUGCCUCGCUUUGAAGCGACACGCAGCAAAUCCACGCCGUUCGGAAUCAAGCGAUGCUUGCCAACGAUGAUAUAACCCCGCAAGGCAUGGGGUCGAGAGGAUGGCCUUG